GACGAACGCUGGCGGCGUGCUUAACACAUGCAAGUCGAACGGAGCGAAUGAAAGCUUGCUUUUAUGAGCUUAGUGGCAAACGGGUGAGUAACACGUAGACAACCUGCCGACAGGAUGGGGACAACAUUCCGAAAGGAAUGCUAAUACCGAAUGAAGUCAGAGAAGGGCAUCCUUUUCUGAUGAAAGAUGGCCUCUGAACAUGCUAUCACCUGUCGAUGGGUCUGCGUCUGAUUAGCUGGUUGGUGAGGUAACGGCUCACCAAGGCGACGAUCAGUAGCCGGUCUGAGAGGAUGAACGGCCACAUUGGGACUGAGACACGGCCCAGACUCCUACGGGAGGCAGCAGUGGGGAAUCUUCCGCAAUGGGCGCAAGCCCUGACGGAGCAACGCCGCGUGAGUGAAGAAAGGUCUUCGGAUCGUAAAGCUCUG
This 428-nucleotide ribosomal RNA is filed under the name Centipeda dianae. RNAcentral's name for it is "bacterial SSU rRNA". It matches the Rfam family "Bacterial small subunit ribosomal RNA", at positions 28 to 435 of the family's 1533-position model. Lineage: Bacteria; Bacillati; Bacillota; Negativicutes; Selenomonadales; Selenomonadaceae. The record is from RNAcentral.